CAGUCGCCGCGGGAAUACGUAGGGUGCAAGCGUUAAUCGGAAUUACUGGGCGUAAAGCGUGCGCAGGCGGUUAUUCAAGACAGAUGUGAAAUCCCCGGGCUCAACCUGGGAACUGCAUUUGUGACUGGAUGACUAGAGUACGGCAGAGGGGGAUGGAAUUCCGCGUGUAGCAGUGAAAUGCGUAGAUAUGCGGAGGAACACCGAUGGCGAAGGCAAUCCCCUGGGCCUGUACUGACGCUCAUGCACGAAAGCGUGGGGAGCAAACAGGAUUAGAUACCCCCGUAGUCCCUGUCUCUUAUAC
RNAcentral lists this ribosomal RNA (301 nucleotides) under uncultured bacterium. RNAcentral's name for it is "partial 16S ribosomal RNA". It matches the Rfam family "Bacterial small subunit ribosomal RNA", at positions 509 to 807 of the family's 1533-position model. The record is from RNAcentral.